Molecule: ribosomal RNA, 799 nt
Filed under: uncultured bacterium
Lineage: Bacteria
Description: bacterial SSU rRNA
Rfam family: Bacterial small subunit ribosomal RNA
Source: RNAcentral
AGAGUUUGAUCCUGGCUCAGGAUGAACGCUCGGCGGCGUGCUUAACACAUGCAAGUCGAACGAAGAUGCCGGAGUGCUUGCACUUUGGCAGACUGAGUGGCGGACGGGUGAGUAACGCGUGGGUAACCUGCCUUAUACAGGGGGAUAACAGUUGGAAACGACUGCUAACACCGCAUAAGCGCACGGUAUCGCAUGAUACAGUGUGAAAAACUCCGGUGGUAUAAGAUGGACCCGCGUCUGAUUAGCUUGUUGGUGAGGUAACGGCCCACCAAGGCGACGAUCAGUAGCCGGCCUGAGAGGGUGAACGGCCACAUUGGGACUGAGACACGGCCCAAACUCCUACGGGAGGCAGCAGUGGGGAAUAUUGCACAAUGGGGGAAACCCUGAUGCAGCGACGCCGCGUGAGUGAUGAAGUAUUUCGGUAUGUAAAACUCUAUCAGCAGGGAAGAUAAUGACGGUACCUGACUAAGAAGCACCGGCUAAAUACGUGCCAGCAGCCGCGGUAAUACGUAUGGUGCAAGCGUUAUCCGGAUUUACUGGGUGUAAAGGGUGCGUAGGUGGUAUGGCAAGUCAGAAGUGAAAGGCUGGGGCUCAACCCCGGGACUGCUUUUGAAACUGUCAAACUAGAGUACAGGAGAGGAAAGCGGAAUUCCUAGUGUAGCGGUGAAAUGCGUAGAUAUUAGGAGGAACACCAGUGGCGAAGGCGGUCUGCUGGACAGCAACUGACGCUGAGGCGCGAAAGCGUGGGGAGCAAACAGGAUUAGAUACCCUGGUAGUCCACGCUGUAAACGAUGGAUAC